This 345-nucleotide ribosomal RNA is filed under the name Triticum aestivum (bread wheat). RNAcentral's name for it is "partial small subunit ribosomal RNA". The record is from RNAcentral. Lineage: Eukaryota; Viridiplantae; Streptophyta; Magnoliopsida; Poales; Poaceae.
AUGCGGCUCCGCUACCAGCAGCAUCGAGGUCGGAGGCGAGGGUCGAUCGGUUUUGGCCAUGAGCGGGCGGUUUUGCGUUGGGUGUCCUCGUCAGCGCUUGGCUUCAGACGCGGAGGAAUCGGGGCCUCGGCUUCACGGCGACACAUUACAGCGUCCCUACUGUUGUGCUUCUGCUCUCGGUUGAUUCGGGGGUGGGCAUCAGCAUGUGAAAUCGACUGCAGAGGAUUCGGGCCUGGGGCAUCGCAUCUUCCUGCCGAUGGAAGGCCUGUGUCCCCUCGAGGCUGGUACGGAUUCUGGCAAGGACAGAGUUUCUCAGCCCUUUUUCAUUGCGUGUGUAUUCUUUAG